AACGAACGCUGGCGGCGUGGAUAAGACAUGCAAGUCGAACGGGCGUAGCAAUACGUCAGUGGCGAAAGGGUGCGUAACACGUGGGCAAUCUGCCGGAAAGUGGGGGAUAGCUCGCCGAAAGGCGAAUUAAUACCGCAUGUGGUGAGCUAAGACAUCUUGGCGAAACUAAAGUCGGGGCAACCUGACGCUUUCUGAUGAGCCCGCGGCCUAUCAGCUAGUUGGUGAGGUAACGGCUCACCAAGGCAAUGACGGGUAGCUGGUCUGAGAGGACGACCAGCCACACUGGAACUGAGACACGGUCCAGACACCUACGGGUGGCAGCAGUCGAGAAUUUUUCUCAAUGGGCGAAAGCCUGAAGGAGCGACGCCGCGUGGAGGAUGAAGGGUUUCGGCUUGUAAACUCCUGUCAUUGGGGAACAAUGCUGUGAGGAGUAACUGCCUUGCAGUUGAUAGUACCCGAAGAGGAAGAGACGGCUAACUCUGUGCCAGCAGCCGCGGUAAUACAGAGGUCUCAAGCGUUGUUCGGAUUCAUUGGGCGUAAAGGGUGCGUAGGCGGUAGGGUAAGUCGGAUGUGAAAUCCCGGGGCUCAACCCCGGAACUGCAUUCGAUACUGCUUUACUUGAGGACUGGAGAGGAGAUUGGAAUUCACGGUGUAGCAGUGAAAUGCGUAGAUAUCGUGAGGAAGACCAGUGGCGAAGGCGAAUCUCUGGACAGAUCCUGACGCUGAGGCACGAAGGCUAGGGGAGCAAACGGGAUUAGAUACCCCGGUAGUCCUAGCAGUAAACGGUGCACGUUUAGUAUGGGAGGAUUCGACCCCUUCCGUGCUGGAGCUAACGCGUUAAACGUGCCGCCUGGGGAGUACGGUCGCAAGAUUA
Molecule: ribosomal RNA, 874 nt
Filed under: uncultured bacterium
Lineage: Bacteria
Description: bacterial SSU rRNA
Rfam family: Bacterial small subunit ribosomal RNA
Source: RNAcentral